GGCUUGUGGGUCGAUGAAGAACGGAGCAAACUCCGUGUUGUCGUGUGAACUGCAGGACACAUGAACAUCGACACUUUGAACGCAAAUGGCGGCCCUCG
This 98-nucleotide ribosomal RNA is filed under the name Thrips tabaci. Its description in RNAcentral is "partial 5.8S ribosomal RNA". It matches the Rfam family "5.8S ribosomal RNA", at positions 23 to 122 of the family's 154-position model. Rfam says of the family: 5.8S ribosomal RNA (5.8S rRNA) is a component of the large subunit of the eukaryotic ribosome. It is transcribed by RNA polymerase I as part of the 45S precursor that also contains 18S and 28S rRNA. Lineage: Eukaryota; Metazoa; Arthropoda; Insecta; Thysanoptera; Thripidae. The record is from RNAcentral.